GCAGUACAAGAUUUAGGAAGAGGCGUAGUCAGAAAUGGAUCCUUAUCAUAUAUGAUGCAUUGUGGAGAGUAGAAUGAGAUAAGUUCCUGGACAUAGUGCUUUUAUGCUCCUUUUAAUCAUUUGAAAGUAUGGAAUGACGGUACUUUUCCAUCUUUGCUUCUAAUUAAUUGCUUUACUCUUUUUUCAUGUUUGCUUGUUUAGGUGUUUGAAGCAUUUGGUCAAGUGGUAGUCCAGAUGCCUCUUGAUGACAUUGGACAUUGCAAAGGUUUUGGCUUUGUGCAGCUACAACUACAAGCUUGUUUAAGAUACUUCUAAACUAGAAAAGUAAGAAGUUUAUAAAUGUGAUUGGAACAAGAAGAUUAACCAAAGAAUGCUUUGGUGAAGGACUAUACAGAUUGAGUCGAGAAUGAUCCGUGAGUGAGGUUAAUGUGCUAGAAGCAUGAUUGAACAGAUGGAACAAAGUAGAAGAUAAAAGAGCUUAAACAAUCAUUGAACAGGUUCACAUCUGCAUCCUGGAAUCCACACUAUAGAAUAUAACAACUUUGCUUUUGGGCCUUGAAUAUCUUAUCAGCAUUUCAUACGUUGAUGAUACCGAGGUUUUUAAGGUUUGUUUGGACUACUGGAAUUCCCUGGUGUCGCAGCUGUUUGAGCCAUGUCGAAGUUUGGAUAAUCCUGCGGCUUCUGCAAACUUGAUGAGACGUCAGGUGUUGUGAAACUUGUGAUAUGGCUCUUGGAAUGUUAAAAUCAAGAAUUGGCGAUUCUCUUUCCCCAUUAAAUAAUUUUUCUCACAAGAUUUGACCUAGCAUCUUAAUAGAAUGCUUUAUUUUUUGAUGUUGCUCCUUUUGUUCUUAAUGUUCACAAGAAUACCACUAUCUGUUUAGCAUGUUAUCAUUGGAUUAAGAAUUAAUACUUGAUUGUGAAAGUGACUAAUUAAAUUUGUAAAAUCAAUAAUGUGAUUAGCUGUGAUCACAACCAUCCAA
Molecule: long non-coding RNA, 980 nt
Organism: Medicago truncatula (barrel medic)
Lineage: Eukaryota; Viridiplantae; Streptophyta; Magnoliopsida; Fabales; Fabaceae
Exons: 4
Source: RefSeq, a predicted model, not a curated record